RNAcentral lists this ribosomal RNA (245 nucleotides) under uncultured Neisseriaceae bacterium. Its description in RNAcentral is "partial 16S ribosomal RNA". It matches the Rfam family "Bacterial small subunit ribosomal RNA", at positions 524 to 768 of the family's 1533-position model. Lineage: Bacteria; Pseudomonadati; Pseudomonadota; Betaproteobacteria; Neisseriales; Neisseriaceae. The record is from RNAcentral.
UACGUAGGGUGCGAGCGUUAAUCGGAAUUAUUGGGCGUAAAGCGAGUGUAGACGGUUAUUUAAGCCAGAUGUGAAAUACCCGAGCCUAACUUGGGAGGUGCAUAUGGAACUGGGUAGCUAGAGUGUGUCAGAGGGAGGUAGAACUCCACGUGUAGCAGUGAAAUGCGUAGAGAUGUGGAAGAAUACCGAUGGCGAAGGCAGCCUCCUGGGAUAACACUGACGUUGAGGCUCGAAAGCGUGGGGAG